This 344-nucleotide long non-coding RNA is filed under the name Fragaria vesca (wild strawberry). RNAcentral describes it as "long non-coding RNA (FVES_LNC001706)". Lineage: Eukaryota; Viridiplantae; Streptophyta; Magnoliopsida; Rosales; Rosaceae. The record is from RNAcentral.
UCCUGUUCCUCAUCUUCCCCUUUCCAGGCCGAAUUGAGUGGCUGUCCUUGGCCUUCUCAGCAUCAUCAUAAGCCCCGAUCUGCUUCAGCAGCUUAAUCGCAGCCGAGGUCUUCUCAACUCCCUCAGCAGUGUCGCUGAUAACCAGGGGUAAUUCGGGAACAUUCUCGAUCCUGUGACCCCUGGCAGUCACCAGAGACGGAACCGAGGAAGCCGCGAUAGCCGAAACGACGGCGUAUCGCUUCUGGUUGACGUUGAUCUUGCGGUGCCAGCGGCGCCAGAUCUUGGUGGGAGCGAACAUCCUUCCGCCGCGGCACAUGUUACCGAAGGCGGCCUGGCCGGCGCGG